GAGCAUCAGCACUUCAAGUCCCUGCUGCUCCAGGCUGGGUCUUUGGGUUACAUGGGAUCCAGGUUUUGUGGGUCUAGAUUAUAAAAACAGAGUUCCAUAAGAUCACAGGAGGGUAUUUUCCUGAUUGUCCCUGUCUUUGCCUGCUGUUGUAGAUUCCCAUACACACCCUCUUAAAAGCCCCCACCCUGAAUCAUGUCUGCUCAGGAGCAUGACCACCUCCUCGUCCCAGGCUCCAGUUCCAGCUCUCUGUGCCAUGUCCAUUGCUGAGCCAGACCCAACUGUGGCCACCUCCGUCCCCUCACUGCAGAGGUGCUGGGCCAGUCCAGUCCCACUGGGCCACUUGCCCUGUGCAUUGAUGAUGUUGGCUUCCGGGGAUCUUUGGUGUAGCAAUACCCUAAUCUAAGCAAGGGUCAGGACCCUUCUCUGCCAGUGUUGAGGCACUUUCCUCCAAUGGAUUUCAAAAGGCAAAUUAUCUUGGUUCCUCCACUGGGCCAAAGGGAGAAUCCACUGUAAGGUACCAAUUGCCUGGAUGGCCCAGGUCCCACACAGAAGGGGGCUGAACAGGUUGAUCCGUAUCACUCAUUCCCUGCCCUGGUCCAAUCCUAGGGCUCGUGUCAGGGUCACAUGGGCAGCAGCGGCUGUGCACGGGAAUUGCUCCUGAAGGAUGAUGGGUAGGACCAGCAGUGAGCAGCAUUUCUAACGUAAAAACCUCCACGCUGUGCGUGUUCAUUCUGUGUCACGUGUUUCCGGCACAUCAUUCACUUAACUCUCACAACAGCUCUCUGCCAGAGACAUUGUGAUUCCUUUUUUCAGGCGUGGAAACUGAUAUUAAAAUUUAAGUAAUUUGCCUAAUGAGGUACAGCCACUAGAUGCCAGAGCUAGGAUUCAAACCUACGUCUUUCUGAGUCCAAAGUACCAUCAUGCUCAAGUUUACAUCACUCUUUUUUCUUUUUUUUUUUUGGUACCGGGGAUCGAACUCUGGUCCUUGCGCUUGCGCAGCAGGCGGUGAAACCACUGAGCUAAAUCCCCAGCGUUCACAUCACUCUUGACCAUGCUGGUUCAGCCAGUCCAGUUCCCUAGACCAGAAGACCACUUUGAGAGCUGAGUAGUUUUGUUUGGUCAUAGCUACAUUGACUUGCUUAUUAAAUCAACAGUGACAGAGCACUUACCCUGUACCUCACACUGUCUGCCAUGGUUAUGACACCCUGGUGACCAACUCACAGAGCUUCCAAUUGGGAAGGGGGCAACAUACAUGGAUGUGAAUUGAAGAAGAGGCUGACUGUACUGAUAGGCACUAAAGAAAACUUUCCUAAAGGACCCCUUGUCUCAUGGCCCUGGCCAGGGGGAAGUCAGAAAUCCUCUUCUAGUUCUGACUCUACUCUUUACUACCUUCCGAUUCCUCCCCUGGGCCCCAGUUCCCUCAUCAGUGUAAAGAAGGGGUCAUGUUUAGAUGGCUUCUAAGCUCUCUUCCAAUUCCAUCAUUUCCUGAAGCUAUAAUGAGGGCAAGAAUCUCUUGCAGGACGAACCCUAGGGCUUAGAUAUGAUGAGCCAGGAGCCACAGAGGUGUGGCAGCACUGGGAAAGAAGAAAGGUCAGGGUCUAGGAAAUCAAGUUUAGGGGCCAGAGACAACUAGAGGGCUCCAGGCAAGUUGGAACCUGGAAUCCAGCAGGUGAAAGCUUGAGGCCAUGGCACCUGGGGAAAGAAGUCCCUCACAGGACCUAGACCCUCAGGAACCCUGUUGGGGCAGUCUGGUGCCCAUGUACCUGGUUUUCUCCCAGCUCUGGCAAAUUGACAUUAAUAAAAGUCCGAAGUAAAGGGUUUGUGAUAUCCACUCCCUAGCCUGGGGAACCCAGCUUCAUAUCAUCACUGGGUCACAGACUCAGCUUUGCAUGGCCUUUAAUGAGUUAUUGGAAAAACCUAACCAGAGGGAAAUUGCAUUAUAUUACUACAGAGAAAGCCACACCCUCAGAUCAACUAAAUCGCUGGAACAGGAAUCUCCUUCCCAUUGGCAAGGUCCCAGCAAGGAAGGGUGGAAAUGAACACCAUAAAGCAGUGAUGGCUAACCUUUUAGAGCUUUCUUUUUGUUUUGUUUUGUUUCUUGGAGACAGGGUCUUGCUAUGUAGUUCAGGCUGGCCUUGAACUCACUAUGUAGCCCAAGCUGGCUUUGAACUCAUGGCAAUUCUCCUGUUUCACCCUCCCGAGUACUGGGGUACAGGCAUCCGCCACCCUGCCCAGCCUUUUUAGAGCUUUCAGUGAUGACAAACAGCCUGCUGCAGCCUGCAUGCCCUAGGUUCGCCACCACUGCCAUAAAGCAAAGAGGGACCUGGCUAGGCCUCCAGAUCAGCCUUGCAUCGUCCAUGACAAAUAUCUCAUUAUUGAUAGCACACUUCAGUUCUCUCACCAGCUGCUCUGGGGCGGCAAUGGAAGUUGUCUACCUGCCUCUGGGCCCUGCUUUUCCCACCAGCUACUCUAAUACAGCCCCUCUCAUGGCUUCAGUUAUGGUUCCUUCUCACCCACAUCUUCCCUUGCAUGGAAAAACUUACCUAGAUAUGUUGCAUGUUGGAAAAUGCUAUUUCAUUCUCCUCUUCAACCUCCAGCUCCCAGGCUCCCCUGGUUCCUGUUCAUGUCGAUCCCAUAGGACAGCCCAGCAGGGUCUCCAGCUCAACUCCCUUCUACUUACUACUGUUGCCUUCCUACAGAAUUGAAAUUGGAUGAGCAUCGAAGGAGAAAGAGGAAGAAAGAGAGAGACAGAGACAGACGGAGAUAGAGAUAGAGACAGAGAUGAAGAGACAGAGACAAAGAAAAAGAAAGGCCCACGCUAAGUCUGGCAUGGCUUAGCUGAGGCCUCCCUUCAGGUUCUCUCACAGGACUGAUCAAGGUGUCCACCCAGGCUUCCAGGCUUUUUGAGGCUCAGGAUCACUCAAGUUGUUGGGACAACUAAGAUCUUGUGGCUGUGGGCUGAGGCCCCUACAGCUACUCUUUAUAGCCACGGCACAGCAGGGCUGCUGUUUCUUCAAGGCCAGGUGAAGAGUGCCUCCAACACCUGCUUAUGCUGGGCCUGCUGGGACGGCCUCCCUCCCAACGGAUUAAGGACUUUAAUUGUACGUGGAAACUCUUCCCCUGCGCUAAAUCCUGUAACACAAGUACAGCGACCUACAUCACCUUUGCUGCAGCCUACUGGGUAGAAGCUCUUGCUUCUAGUCUUACAGGUUUCACCCACACUUGGGAGGGGAUUCUACAGAGGACUGGGCACCAAGGCACAGGAGUCACGGAGACCAUCUGAGAUAUCUGCCUACCACAAUAUUGUAUCAUGGAAUGAGAAGGAGACAAUAUAAAUCCAUAAUUUUACCAUUGAAGAGAACCAUUGUCAACAUUUUAGUUGACAUUUCCUUCUAGUCUUCUGACCAUAUUUCUUUUUGUAUUAUUAAAAUUAUGCAGUAUGUGUACUU
Molecule: long non-coding RNA, 3449 nt
Organism: Heterocephalus glaber (naked mole-rat)
Lineage: Eukaryota; Metazoa; Chordata; Mammalia; Rodentia; Bathyergidae
Source: Ensembl